GAAUUUUGGACAAUGGGCGCAAGCCUGAUCCAGCAAUGCCGCGUGCGGGAAGAAGGCCUUCGGGUUGUAAACCGCUUUUGUCAGGGAAGAAAAGCUCCGGGCUAAUACCUCGGAGUCAUGUCGGUACCUGAAGAAUAAGCACCGGCCAACUACGCGCCAGCAGCCGCGGUAAUACGUAGGGUGCAAGCGUUAAUCGGAAUUACUGGGCGUAAAGCGUGCGCAGGCGGUCAUGCAAGACAGAUGUGAAAUCCCCGGGCUCAACCUGGGAACUGCAUUUGUGACUGCAUGGCUAGAGUGCGGCAGAGGGGGAUGGAAUUCCGCGUGUAGCAGUGAAAUGCGUAGAUAUGCGGAGGAACACCGAUGGCGAAGGCAAUCCCCUGGGCCUGCACUGACGCUCAUGCACGAAAGCGUGGGGAGCAAACAGG
This 425-nucleotide ribosomal RNA is filed under the name uncultured bacterium. RNAcentral's name for it is "bacterial SSU rRNA". It matches the Rfam family "Bacterial small subunit ribosomal RNA", at positions 359 to 776 of the family's 1533-position model. The record is from RNAcentral.